This 29-nucleotide non-coding RNA is filed under the name Bombyx mori (domestic silkworm). The record is from RNAcentral. Lineage: Eukaryota; Metazoa; Arthropoda; Insecta; Lepidoptera; Bombycidae.
UGGAUAAUGACCCUCAGAGUAAUCCUGGC